This is an RNA transcript of Arabidopsis lyrata subsp. lyrata, 1966 nucleotides long. It is a transcript of the gene named heterogeneous nuclear ribonucleoprotein 1, with no coding region annotated. The record is from RefSeq and is a predicted model, not a curated record. The transcript has 4 exons. Lineage: Eukaryota; Viridiplantae; Streptophyta; Magnoliopsida; Brassicales; Brassicaceae.
CAAUAGAAAUAUUCGUUCGCUGUCUUCUUCCUCUCAAAUCGGCUACAGCCAUUGCUCUCUUCUUUCGAAAAGCUAAAGCCUUUUCGUAAUUUCUUCAAGUUUCUGCAGUGGGUUUUGUAGAUUGAGGUGGGUUUGUGAUUCUGGGUUAGUAAGAGAGUGGUGUAUAAAUCAUGGAUUCGGAUCAAGGAAAGCUUUUUGUCGGUGGUGUUUCAUGGGAAACUGAUGAAGAUAAGCUGAGAGAACAUUUCAGUAACUAUGGAGAGGUUUCGCAAGCUAUUGUGAUGAGAGACAAGCUCACAGGUAGACCUAGGGGUUUUGGGUUCGUUAUCUUCUCGGAUCCUUCUGUUCUCGAUAGGGUUCUUCAAGACAAACACAACAUUGAUACUAGAGAGGUUGAUGUGAAGAGGGCCAUGUCAAGAGAGGAGCAGCAAGUCUCUGGAAGAACUGGGAACCUUAAUACAUCUAGAAGUUCUGGAGGUGAUUCUUUCAAUAAAACCAAGAAGAUCUUUGUUGGAGGCUUGCCACCUACUUUGACAGAUGAAGAGUUUCGUCAGUAUUUUGAAGUUUAUGGUCCUGUGACUGAUGUUGCAAUCAUGUAUGACCAGGCUACUAACCGUCCUCGUGGGUUUGGAUUUGUUUCCUUCGACUCUGAAGAUGCGGUAGACCGUGUGUUGCACAAGACUUUCCAUGAUUUGAGUGGUAAGCAAGUUGAAGUUAAGCGUGCUCUUCCUAAAGAUGCCAAUCCUGGAGGUGGACGAGCAAUGGGUGGUGGUGGUUACCAGGGUUAUGGUGGUAAUGAAAGCAAUUAUGAUGGGCGUGUGGAUUCCAAUAGGUUUAUGCAGCAUCAAAAUGUUGGAAAUGGUUUACCAUCUUAUGGUUCUUCCGGUUAUGGUGGUGGGUAUGGAAAUGGUAGUAAUGGUACUGGAUAUGGUGGGUAUGGAGGUUACACUGGUUCUGCUGGAGGUUAUGGCGCUGGUGCUACUGCUGCAUAUGGAGCAACGAACAUUCCAGGUGCCGGCUAUGGAAGUAGUUCUGGAGUUGCCCCGAGAAACUCAUGGGACACUCCAGCUCCUAGUGGUUAUGGGAACCCAGGCUAUGGGAGUGGUGCUGCUCAUAGUGGAUAUGGGGUUCCUGGUGCAGCUCCUCCUGCGCAGUCACCAUCUGGCUAUAGUAACCAAGGCUACGGAUAUGGAGGGUACAGUGGAAGUGAUUCUGGUUAUGGAAAUCAAGCUGCAUAUGGUGUGGUUGGAGGGCGUCCUAGUGGUGGUGGUUCAAACAACCCUGGUAGUGGUGGCUACAUGGGAGGGGGUUAUGGUGAUGGAUCUUGGCGAUCUGACCCUUCACAAGGUUAUGGUGGUGGGUACAAUGAUGGUCAGGGUCGACAAGGCCAGUAGUGACUAUUUAAGGGGAUUAUCACCACCCUGGUUUUUGGAUCCUUUUCAAGAAGAAUUUGGCUCAAAUCAAAGGUUCCUCGACUUCAUAACGGGGAAUAAUGCUUCAUGGUACUUGAUUAAGAAAGCAGAUGGUGAGCAGAACUCGAUGGAGGUGAGAGUCAACCGCUGAAUGUAUGGUUUGAGUAGAAAGUAGAGGACUUAUCGAGGGGUGCUUGAGUUCUUAGGUGGAGCAACGACUCAUCGAGGUUGAAUUCGAGGUCUGUUUCUACUCGGAGUUGAGGUAAGCGCUUGAAGAACGAAGAGUCAAGUUGUUAUCAGUAUGUGGUUUCAGUAUGUGAGCUACUACUUAGGUUCUUUUGUGAGGGAUGAGAUUGAAGAGAAUGAAACAAACUUAAAUAGGCACAUACUGUAGAAGCACAAAGGCACCCACAUUGUUAAAAUUAUCUUAGGAGAUUGUGGUUUGAUCCAUAGUGAUGGAUAUUAGAUACCAAGUUCUCAUAAUUAUAGAAACUAGUGGAAACACAAUAGUACAAAGCUUAUCUUGGAAUGGGAAAUACAAAGCUAAUUUAAUU